AACCUUAAUUGUUAGCUCCACAUUCGCGCUCAUCUAAUCAAUAGAACAUAUAUUUAUGUGUCUUAUUACAAAUUCUUUACACAUGAUAUAUAGACAUCGUGGCAAUACAUGGGUAACCCAACAGUGUCAGCUAUCACCAGUACAAUAUGACUGUGUUGCGACGAAAAAUUAUUCGAUAAAUGAUUCUGAUACUAAACUGUUUCUCAGCGAAAAGCCGAAUACAAUGGUGAGUUAAUUCGAUACCAUUAGCAACAAAAUUUCAAUUAAUGAGUUAUUCAAAUUGAUUAACAUAUGUAUUGACCUGUUGGUAGAGGACUUAGCAAACAUCAAACACUAAAAAGUGCCCACAUGCACCUCGGUGUCGUCUUAUUCACCUGUCACUUAUCAAAUGCCAAGAGCAAUGCAGCAUUCUGUUUCACAAACUAAUGACCAAACUUUACCAAGUCAAGAAAACGUUGUCCAUUCUUGUAUAUCUACCAAGUCAAGGGAACGUUGAGCGGACCAAAGUUUGAACAAUCCUAGCGCACAUCAAAUUGCCUCAUCUGGAUUGCCUCUACAAACAGUCUGCAUACCGAUAGAUGGUGAGCAAUUCCAGACCUGAAUUCUGGACAGAACGAAGACAGCACCCGAUGCUAAACACCAUAAGUACAAUCUGACCAACAAAGGAACACUUAUGCCAGUUGUCAUCUUCAUCAAAAGCAUUGGCUAAUCUGACUCAUUGCAUCAGGUGAAAAAAAAGAUUAGAUGUGCACAAGCGCACUGUCAGAAAUGUAAUGCAGCUUGAUGUAGUAAAGGCAACUUGUGGCAUGGUUCAAGCAGGAAGACAUCAGGUGUUACUGCUUGGGCUUCUCUUUGUUUUGGUUCGCCAGGCUUUGUACUUGGAUGCUUUGUUUUUUUUCCCAACUUCUCUUAAUGGAAUACAUGCAAUGAACAUUCUUGGAAACCUUACUCCUUGGACAACUUCUGUAGCUGAUAAACAGCUAGAAAGAAGCAUCUCUAACCUUUUGGUACACCCUCCUGUAUAUCGUUGCUCCUUCAAGCUCUGCAUGGAUUUCUCGCUCUGUCCGGAUUCCCAUUGGGUUGUCCAGAAGCCAUCCUUCAUUGUCACACUGAAGAUCUUGAUCAACAUAAUUAACAUGUGCCAAAAUACCAGAGUACCCAUCAAACCUUUCCCUCAUGUCUACAGAUACUUCCAGUACAUCAGAUUGUAUGAAAACCU
This 1219-nucleotide unclassified non-coding RNA is filed under the name Zea mays. RNAcentral's name for it is "misc RNA Zm00001eb004580". The record is from RNAcentral. Lineage: Eukaryota; Viridiplantae; Streptophyta; Magnoliopsida; Poales; Poaceae.